GGUGAACGCUGGCGGUAGGCCUAACACAUGCAAGUCGAACGGCAGCACAGUAAGAGCUUGCUCUUACGGGUGGCGAGUGGCGGACGGGUGAGGAAUACAUCGGAAUCUACUUUUUCGUGGGGGAUAACGUAGGGAAACUUACGCUAAUACCGCAUACGACCUACGGGUGAAAGCAGGGGAUCUUCGGACCUUGCGCGAUUGAAUGAGCCGAUGUCGGAUUAGCUAGUUGGCGGGGUAAAGGCCCACCAAGGCGACGAUCCGUAGCUGGUCUGAGAGGAUGAUCAGCCACACUGGAACUGAUACACGGUCCAGACUCCUACGGGAGGCAGCAGUGGGGAAUAUUGGACAAUGGGCGCAAGCCUGAUCCAGCCAUACCGCGUGGGUGAAGAAGGCCUUCGGGUUGUAAAGCCCUUUUGUUGGGAAAGAAAAGCAGCAGGUUAAUACCCCGCUGUUCUGACGGUACCCAAAGAAUAAGCACCGGCUAACUUCGUG
Molecule: ribosomal RNA, 492 nt
Filed under: uncultured bacterium
Lineage: Bacteria
Description: partial 16S ribosomal RNA
Rfam family: Bacterial small subunit ribosomal RNA
Source: RNAcentral